Long non-coding RNA from Sycon ciliatum, 773 nucleotides. RefSeq lists it as uncharacterized. The record is from RefSeq and is a predicted model, not a curated record. The transcript has 3 exons. Lineage: Eukaryota; Metazoa; Porifera; Calcarea; Leucosolenida; Sycettidae.
GACUCACUCAGUCACGGCAUGCCAAAGCCAAGGGUGGCGUAAUCAUGGUGGUGGUGACCAGAUAAUGAGAUCUUACCCGAUGGGCGAUGGCGCGAAGAUUCCCGCUAAGCCGCGGAACUGGCACAGAAGAAUAUUGCCUCCGACAGUCACCACCAGGGAGUCGUAAAAGCCCUGGUCACCACCGUCAGUACUUCGGCAGAUCUACCUCAGUCCUCAGUACCUGUACCUGGUCAUGACGACAUCGACAGUAAUGCAGAAUCUGACCGUCAACAAAAAUUGUUGGAAUUACACUUUGGUUGCUUCUGGUGGAAGAAGGAGAACAGAGCCGGGGAGAGGUGGCCAGAUGAGCCUCCUACGGGACGAUUUGCGUUCGGGCUCCCACAAAUGACAACGGUCGCAUCCGACCGCCUACUGGCGGAGUUACUUCCUGGCUCACCUCCUGCACCCGCAGGCUCAGGCCUUCCGACACUAGGCCGUUCAACGCCCGUCCACAGCAACGGUUUUGUUUCCCGGUAUCGCAUGUUUUGUUUCGUUUGGUCGGAUAACGCGUAUAAGCAGGCGAGCACGCAUCAGCAGUUCAAGUAUUGAUAUUGGCCACUGCUCGGGUGAAGUUUUUCUAUCAUACACACUGGCACUGGUACCGCCGCUAAGUACCUAGUACCUGCAACCAAAGAACUUACUUUCGAACUCGAGCGGCUACCUGUAUCAUUCCGUCUCUCUAAAGCAUUUGAUCAUGCUCCGCCGAUAACUGUGACUCAGUCAACUUACCGUGC